Molecule: ribosomal RNA, 787 nt
Filed under: Staphylococcus sp. Y17-MSE-E14
Lineage: Bacteria; Bacillati; Bacillota; Bacilli; Caryophanales; Staphylococcaceae
Also listed under: 1 other name
Description: bacterial SSU rRNA
Rfam family: Bacterial small subunit ribosomal RNA
Source: RNAcentral
UGCAAGUCGAGCGAACAGAUGAGAAGCUUGCUUCUCUGAUGUUAGCGGCGGACGGGUGAGUAACACGUGGGUAACCUACCUAUAAGACUGGGAUAACUCCGGGAAACCGGGGCUAAUACCUGAUAAUAUUUUGAACCGCAUGGUUCGAUAGUGAAAGGCGGCUUCGGCUGUCACUUAUAGAUGGACCCGCGCCGUAUUAGCUAGUUGGUAAGGUAAUGGCUUACCAAGGCGACGAUACGUAGCCGACCUGAGAGGGUGAUCGGCCACACUGGAACUGAGACACGGUCCAGACUCCUACGGGAGGCAGCAGUAGGGAAUCUUCCGCAAUGGGCGAAAGCCUGACGGAGCAACGCCGCGUGAGUGAUGAAGGUUUUCGGAUCGUAAAACUCUGUUGUUAGGGAAGAACAAAUUUGUUAGUAACUGAACAAGUCUUGACGGUACCUAACCAGAAAGCCACGGCUAACUACGUGCCAGCAGCCGCGGUAAUACGUAGGUGGCAAGCGUUAUCCGGAAUUAUUGGGCGUAAAGCGCGCGUAGGCGGUUUCUUAAGUCUGAUGUGAAAGCCCACGGCUCAACCGUGGAGGGUCAUUGGAAACUGGGGAACUUGAGUGCAGAAGAGGAGAGUGGAAUUCCAUGUGUAGCGGUGAAAUGCGCAGAGAUAUGGAGGAACACCAGUGGCGAAGGCGGCUCUCUGGUCUGUAACUGACGCUGAUGUGCGAAAGCGUGGGGAUCAAACAGGAUUAGAUACCCUGGUAGUCCACGCCGUAACGAUGAGUGCUAAGUGUUA